GACUCCUACGGGAGGCAGCAGUGGGGAAUUUUCCGCAAUGGGCGAAAGCCUGACGGAGCAAUACCGCGUGAGGGAUGACGGCCUAUGGGUUGUAAACCUCUUUUUUCAGGGAGGAAUCAAUGACGUGUACCUGAAGAAUAAGCAUCGGCUAACUCCGUGCCAGCAGCCGCGGUAAU
Molecule: ribosomal RNA, 176 nt
Filed under: uncultured bacterium
Lineage: Bacteria
Description: partial 16S ribosomal RNA
Rfam family: Bacterial small subunit ribosomal RNA
Source: RNAcentral